RNAcentral lists this ribosomal RNA (367 nucleotides) under Epinephelus ongus (white-streaked grouper). Its description in RNAcentral is "partial 12S ribosomal RNA". It matches the Rfam family "Bacterial small subunit ribosomal RNA", at positions 971 to 1533 of the family's 1533-position model. The record is from RNAcentral. Lineage: Eukaryota; Metazoa; Chordata; Actinopteri; Perciformes; Serranidae.
UCACCUUUUCUUGUUCUCCCCGCCUAUAUACCGCCGUCGUCAGCUUACCCUAUGAAGGUCCCUUAGUAAGCACAAUUGGCACAGCCCAAAACGUCAGGUCGAGGUGUAGCGUAUGGAAAGGGAAGAAAUGGGCUACAUUCCCUACUACAGGGAAUCACGAACAAUAUUACUGAAACGUAUAUCUAGAAGGAGGAUUUAGCAGUAAGCAGAAAAUAGAGUGUUCUGCUGAAACCGGCCCUGAAGCGCGCACACACCGCCCGUCACUCUCCCCAAGCGUAUCUUUACAACAUACUUAAAACCUUUCAUCAGCAAAGGGGAGGCAAGUCGUAACAUGGUAAGUGUACCGGAAGGUGCACUUGGCAAAAAC